GUCUGAUGUUGCGCACCUGUGGUAGGCGACAUAGCGCAGUCUAGGCAAGGUGAGUAAAUAAACGGUUUGAAGAAACUUCCCCUUAACUUUCUCAGCGCGCUUGUUUCUAUUCCGUGCGUAUGGUUCGCUAGGAGGACAGUCGCCAUGUUGGCAGCGCGGAGGGCUGUCGCCGCCAGGCUCGUUUUUAGGGGGGCGCCGAGCGCCGUCUCCUACGUGUCGGACCCGCCGCGGCCGCGCUCUCGCAGCCUGAGUACCGCGGCGGCGCUCCAGCAGCAGGACGUGCGGCUGCACGACAAGUGGGCCGCGUUGGCCCAGAAGCAGCUGAAAGGGAAGAACCCCCAGGAGCUGAUCUGGCGCACCCCCGAGGGCAUCUCCAUCAAGCCCGUGUACACCCGCGAUGACAGCGGCGAGGUGGCCGACGAGCUGCCGGGCGUGUUCCCCUUCACCAGGGGCCCCUACCCCACCAUGUACACGUACAGGCCCUGGACCAUCCGUCAGUACGCGGGCUUCAGCACCGUGGAGGAGAGCAACAAGUUCUAUAAAGACAAUAUCAAAGCUGGGCAGCAGGGCCUGUCUGUUGCAUUUGACCUGCCAACACAUCGUGGCUACGACUCGGACAACCCGAGGGUCCAUGGCGAUGUCGGCAUGGCAGGGGUGGCCAUCGACACAGUGGAGGACACAAAGAUGCUGUUUGAUGGGAUUCCCUUGGAGAAGAUGUCGGUAUCCAUGACCAUGAACGGAGCUGUGAUUCCCAUCCUGGCUAUGUUCAUUGUGACUGGGGAAGAGCAGGGUGUGCCUCCAGAAAAGCUGACGGGAACCAUCCAGAAUGACAUCCUCAAGGAGUUCAUGGUCCGAAACACCUACAUCUUCCCUCCUGACCCUUCCAUGCACGUCAUCGCUGACAUAUUUGCCUACACGUCUAAGCACAUGCCCAAGUUUAAUUCCAUCUCCAUCAGCGGGUACCAUUUGCAAGAAGCCGGUGCAGAUGCUAUCCUUGAACUGGCGUACACGAUUGCUAAUGGGCUGGAGUAUUGCCGGACUGGUGUAAAGGCUGGCCUCUCCAUUGAUGAGUUUGCCCCGAGGUUGUCUUUCUUCUGGGGAAUUGGUAUGAAUUUUUAUAUGGAAAUUGCCAAGAUGAGAGCUGGGCGACGACUUUGGGCAAAUUUGAUAAAGGAGAAGUUUCAGCCCAAGAACUCAAAGUCACUACUGCUGAGAGCUCAUUGCCAGACAUCGGGAUGGUCUUUAACAGAACAGGAUCCCUACAACAAUGUGAUCCGCACGGUCAUCGAGGCCAUGGCCGCUGUGUUCGGGGGGACCCAAUCCUUGCACAGCAACUCCUUUGACGAAGCUCUGGGUCUGCCCACAGUGAAGAGUGCCCGCAUUGCUCGCAACACCCAGAUUAUCAUCCAGGAGGAAUCGGGCAUCCCCAAGGUGGCCGACCCCUGGGGUGGCUCCUAUAUGAUGGAGUCUCUGACCACUGAAGUGUACAACAGUGCCCUAAAGUUUAUCAACGAGAUUGAAGAGAUGGGCGGUAUGGCUCGGGCCGUGGCCGAAGGGAUCCCCAAACUCCGUAUCGAGGAGUGCGCAGCCCGCAGACAGGCCCGAAUUGACUCAGGCUCAGAAGUCAUUGUAGGAGUAAACAAAUACCGUCUGGAGAAGGAGGAGUCUGUUGAAGUUCUGGCGAUUGACAACACUUCCGUGCGCAAUAAGCAAAUAGAGAAGCUGAAGAAGGUGCGGGAAAGCCGUGACAAUGAAGCUGUGAAGCGGUGUCUCGGAGCUAUUGAGGAGUGCGCCCGCACCGGCAGCGGUAACCUCCUGGCACUGGCGGUGGAUGCAGCUCGUGCAAGGUGCUCGGUUGGGGAGAUUACGGAUGCAAUGAAAAGUGUCUUUGGUGAACACAAGGCCAGCACGCGAAUGGUGAGUGGGGCGUACAGAAGUGAAUUUGGAGAGCACCAAGAAAUUGCCACUGUCCACAAUCGGGUUCUGCACUUUAAGAAACACGAGGGCCGUAAUCCUCGUCUCCUGGUUGCGAAAAUGGGACAAGAUGGCCACGACAGAGGUGCCAAGGUCAUUGCAACAGGCUUUGCAGACUUGGGGUUUGAUGUUGACAUUGGGCCACUUUUCCAGACCCCCCUCGAGGUGGCCCAGCAGGCAGUAGACGCCGAUGUGCACUGUGUGGGCAUCAGCACUCUCGCAGCUGGCCACAAGACCCUCGUUCCUGAGUUAAUCCAGGAGCUGAAGAACCUGAACCGUCCCGACAUCCUUGUCAUCUGCGGAGGAGUCAUCCCACCCCAGGACUACGAGUUUCUGUAUGAAAAGGGAGUUUGUAGCAUCUUCGGUCCAGGAACAAGAAUUCCUCAAGCAGCCAUCGAGGUCAUUGACAGCAUUGAGAAAAGUCUAGAGAAGAACCGACAUGCUAUGUAAUCAUCUAAGAAAGGGUGGCAAUAGAGAGAGUGCAUGAAAAGUCUUCAGUUUGAACUCUUUAUAGACUUUGUCUGUGACCAGCUAGGGAUAUGAAUUUCUGGUGUAUUGUAAUUAGGCCUUUUUAAGUUCCACAACUCUUGAUCCUUACCUCUCUGUGAAAAGGAAUUCGCUUAUUGAGCAAAUUUUUUCACAACACGAAAGUUCCUUUCCUCUCAUUCACUUUCCAAAUAAUAAAAUGUUGUCAUUAAAAAAUGUUCUGAAUGUUUUGUCACCUUUUUGGUUUCCUUAUUGACAAAAUUGUCUCAUGAGUAUUUCAGAGAAUGUAAUACUGUAUAGUAUCAGAUUCUUUAUUUCUGAAAACAUAUUUUAUGAUUGUUGCUAAUUUCAUUAUUUACAUUGUUUAUGAAAAUUUAUAUUCAGUGUAAUGUGUCUUUGAAGUAGAAUCUGUCUGAAAUGUUUCAUGGUCAAAUAAGUCAUGUUACUGAAACACUUAAAUGAUAUGACUUUACAAAUGUAACUGGGUAUAGUGAGCUGUGUAUCUGCCUGGGUACUACAGGUUUGCGAUGUGUGUCUGCUCAACAAACAGUUGAGACCCUGACUAAUCUAGUCUCUCACUUAUAUAUUGAUGGUAAAAUGUCAGUGUGUAGACCACUUACUAACAGUAAAAAGAUGCUGGAGAAUCAGACUGUGUUCCCUCUCUGUCCCUUAACUGAACUGCUACACUUAAGAUUCUUAGGAGACAAGACUUCCUCCAUAUUAUAAUUUUUUUUAUUCUGUAGUUGAUUAAAGCAAAAUUUUGAUUACUGUACUAUUAUAGUAUUUAAAUAUUUUCAGAUAUGACAAGUAGUUCAUUUAUAAUAUACUGAGGUAAUCACCAAGGUUUCUGUUGAGUUUAAUUUCAUGGAGGCCAAAUUCAAUUGUCCACCAAAAACUGAAGAGACAAAAUCACCACAGAAGCUUACUGCUAAGCUGCCUUUGAAAGGCUUUCAGAGGAUAAUCAAUACCCUUAAUAUUUGACUUAUGUAUGAUGAAAUGAUUUAAUAAUGUAUUUACCAUUUCUUGUGCAUUCAUAAUGGUGGCUUUAUUCUGCUUAAAAAACUAGUGAAAGAAUCUUUUAUACUGGAAGAUCAACCUAAAAACGUAUGAAUUCAUGACAAGAUAAAUUGUUGACUGUUUGAUUAAAUUCCCUAGAUUUCAAUAUUAUUUGCCAAUGAGGACAUUUUGCAAAUGCUUUCUGGUAUUGGCUUCAAUUUCUGAUAGCUAUGUGAUGUCACACUUCAUCCAUUUCCUUUUUUUAUUAUUUAUGCCUGACACAAUGGGAAGAAAAGUGCAACAUGUUACUGGAUUGUUGCAGCCUGAAGUACAGGGAUUUGUUUUAGUGCCAGUAUUUUUCUAGCCAUAAAAAUUGUUAUUGGAAAGAGCCUAUGAAUUUUAAAUGUUAGAAGAAGAAAGAAACUGAUAUUUUGGCUUUAAUGAAAAAUGACCUGAGUUCUGUUUGCAGAAGCCAAUACUGAUACUUUUUCGACUGCCCUUUCAUUUUAAUACUUCAACCACAUGGAAUGUCUUGAUUAUCAUUCCCCUGUAAAACACUUUUUGUAAUGGAAAAUACAAAUAGAAAAACCUGA
Molecule: RNA transcript, 4049 nt
Organism: Scleropages formosus (Asian bonytongue)
Lineage: Eukaryota; Metazoa; Chordata; Actinopteri; Osteoglossiformes; Osteoglossidae
Gene: mmut
Gene name: methylmalonyl CoA mutase
Exons: 13
Source: RefSeq, a predicted model, not a curated record